Molecule: long non-coding RNA, 357 nt
Organism: Juglans regia (Persian walnut)
Lineage: Eukaryota; Viridiplantae; Streptophyta; Magnoliopsida; Fagales; Juglandaceae
Exons: 2
Source: RefSeq, a predicted model, not a curated record
CAAAAAUAAAUUUCAAUCCUCCCCGCGCUCUCUUCCUCUGCAUCGUCUCUGUUGCAGUUCUGCCCAUCGAGACUGUUCGACACCUCCAUCAUAGGUGCCGCCGCCACCUCCACUAUCGGAACUCCAGUGCCACCAUACAGACUGCCUAAGACACCCUUCUCAUGCCUCUAGGUAAGCCCCAAGCCGUUGCUCUCUCCCUCGUACACUUGCAUGUAUCGUAACCCCUCUUGUGCAAAAAUAAUAGAUUGGUCCACCCACCCAUCGGUGAUGCCUUCCAUUGCCACUAAAAUAGAGGGUGUUACAUUUAUCAUUUUGGAAUGUAUGGUUCUACUUAUAUGAUGCUUCCAUGAUUUUUUA